Eutrema salsugineum is the source of this 437-nucleotide long non-coding RNA. RefSeq lists it as uncharacterized. The record is from RefSeq and is a predicted model, not a curated record. The transcript has 3 exons. Lineage: Eukaryota; Viridiplantae; Streptophyta; Magnoliopsida; Brassicales; Brassicaceae.
CAUUCCUCUCUCUUUCUCUUCCUAUCUUUCUUCUUGCAUGCAAUUCACAAAAUUUGUUGCCAUCCUUCUCUAAUCUGUUCCCUUUCAAUUCUCUUUGCUAUUCUUGGAAAUACGAAUUAGGAACUUUCAUGUGUUUGGAAUUGAAGAUCAAGUCUUAAUUUUCACAUGCAUUGGGAAAGAGAGAACUUAGAGCUUGAAGACGGUGGAAGUACUCCGCAACGGCUAGAAUACAGCGCGCCUCUUGUCGGGUCGUCAACAAUUGGUUCAACCUAUGGAUCGUUUGGUGCCUCAAAUUAUCCGCCUAAGAAGGAGGUGGCUCUAUGUGCAUUGGCUGAGAUGGGAAGAUGUUAAGCGUCGAUGUUGGAGGUCUCAUCGCCAUAUUAUCUGCCAUAAGAUUCAUAGAUGAGUCAUGUGAUGUGUGGAAAUGGUCUGGUUAU